CCUACGGGGGGCAGCAGUGGGGGAUAUUGCACAAUGGGGGGAACCCUGAUGCAGCGACGCCGCGUGGGUGAAGGAGUGCUUCGGCAUGUAAAGCCCUAUCGGCAGGGAAGAAGCAAGACGGUACCUGACUAAGAAGCCCCGGCUAACUAGGUGCCAGCAGCUGCGGUAAUACGUAGGGGGCGAGCGUUAUCCGGAUUCACUGGGUGUAAAGGGAGCGUAGACGGCCAUGCAAGCCAGGGGUGAAAGCCCGGGGCCCAACCCCGGGACUGCCCUUGGAACUGUGCGGCUAGAGUGCGGGAGGGGCAGGCGGAAUUCCUGGUGUAGCGGUGAAAUGCGUAGAUAUCAGGAGGAACACCGGCGGCGAAGGCGGCCUGCUGGACUGCGACUGACGUUGAGGCUCGAAAGCGUGGGGAGCGAACAGGAUUAGAUACCCUUGUAGUC
This 441-nucleotide ribosomal RNA is filed under the name uncultured bacterium. Its description in RNAcentral is "partial 16S ribosomal RNA". It matches the Rfam family "Bacterial small subunit ribosomal RNA", at positions 338 to 795 of the family's 1533-position model. The record is from RNAcentral.